CGAAUGGCUCAUUAUAUAAGUUAUCGUUUAUUUGAUAGUGCUUUACUACUUGGAUAACCGUGGUAAUUCUAGAGCUAAUACAUGCUAAAAGACCCGACUUUGGAAGGGUUGUAUUUAUUAGAUUAAAAACCAAUGCCCUCUGGGCUCACUGGUGAAUCAUGAUAACUUCGCGAAUCGCAUGGCCUUGUGCCGGCGAUGGCUCAUUCAAAUUUCUUCCCUAUCAACUUUCGAUGUUUGGGUAGUGGCCAAACAUGGUUGCAACGGGUAACGGAGGGUUAGGGCUCGACCCCGGAGAAGGAGCCUGAGAAACGGCUACUACAUCCAAGGAAGGCAGCAGGCGCGCAAAUUACCCAAUCCCGAUACGGGGAGGUAGUGACAAUAAAUACUGAUACAGGGCUCUUUUGGGUCUUGUAAUUGGAAUGAGUACAAUUUAAAUCCCUUAACGAGGAACAAUUAGAGGGCAAGUCUGGUGCCAGCAGCCGCGGUAAUUCCAGCUCUAAUAGCGUAUAUUAAAGUUGUUGUGGUUAAAAAGCUCGUAGUUGAACCUUGGGCCUGGCUGGCGGGUCCGCCUCACCGCGUGUACUUCGCCGGCCGGGCCUUUCCCUCUGUGGAACCCUAUGCCCUUCACUGGGUGUGGCGGGGAAACAGGACUUUUACUUUGAAAAAAUUAGAGUGCUCCAGGCAGGCCUAUGCUCGAAUAUAUUAGCAUGGAAUAAUAAAAUAGGACGUGUGGUUCUAUUUUGUUGGUUUCUAGGACCGCCGUAAUGAUUAAUAGGGACAGCCGGGGGCAUCAGUAUUCAAUUGUCAGAGGUGAAAUUCUUGGAUUUAUUGAAGACUAACUACUGCGAAAGCAUUUGCCAAGAAUGUUUUCAUUAAUCAGGAACGAAAGUUAGGGGAUCGAAGACGAUCAGAUACCGUCGUAGUCUUAACCAUAAACUAUGCCGACUAGGGAUCGGACGAUGUUAUUACUUGACUCGUUCGGCACCUUACGAGAAAUCAAAGUG
RNAcentral lists this ribosomal RNA (1004 nucleotides) under Ophiocordyceps sp. RNAcentral's name for it is "SSU rRNA". It matches the Rfam family "Eukaryotic small subunit ribosomal RNA", at positions 90 to 1105 of the family's 1831-position model. The record is from RNAcentral. Lineage: Eukaryota; Fungi; Ascomycota; Sordariomycetes; Hypocreales; Ophiocordycipitaceae.